GUGCGAUGUUUUUUUUGGUUCUAUGUAAAACGAUGAUAUUGAAAGUAAACAGUGUUGCCAAACAAUUAAAAAAAAGACCACUGUUUCUGUUCUUGAAGGCCUGUACUCAUCGGCAACACUGUUUUUCGAUCUGUUUCUUUGCGCCUUUUUCUUUGACGUCAUCGCAGGACGCUACACACUGUGUGCGCCAUUUGCAUUGGAUCUUUCUAGAUUGCUGGUUGCUUCGAGAUAUUAUGGGAUUAUCAGACUGCUUGUAGAUUGGUUUCGAACCUGCCAUUUUUCGUGAAGUUGUUCAUUUCUCCGGCGUUAGUGUUAGAUGAUACGCUGCUCUGCGUAUGUCACAACAACAAUAGCGCAAUAUAAAGAGGCAAAAAUGGAACAACAAUACGCUGCAGGCGUGAAGCGACCAAAAUUGAUGCUGACAAAAAAAAAAUGGAAAAUUCGUGAUUGCGUCAACCCAAAGAGAAUAUACAGCCAGCAGCGAAACUUCGUCUACAAGCACCAUGAGUCAAAUAAUACACAAGAAAGGAAACAUAACUAAGAACAUAUCAUCAACUUUAUUGCAGCCAGAAUUUUUACAAACGAGUUCCACAGGCGAAGAAAGCUCAACGUUAAACCUUCACCCUCAGUUGCUACAUGACUUAUCAUGUAAUUCUAUUGAGCAUUUGGAUUGCAGUACUAAUAUCGAACAAAAUAUUCCAAUGCCUUCCUGCCAGAAGUCAACAAAACAAGAACCGGCAUCUUUUCCAUUCAAUUCUUCUUGUUCCAAACGAUCACGGUGGCGGUACAGGUACGAAUUAUACUUUAUCCGCUUGGAAAACCUUUUAUCCAUUAUUAACACUUAGCAAAUGUUCACAAAAUAAAACUUCUGGCAUAAAAUCUGUUUAAUAAUCACCGCUGCUUUUAGGAUUGUUGUUGUUGUUUUGGCAAUUGGUACGUUUUUGACAUGACAAUUGAAAACAACACGACUGCUGCGAAAAAUACCACCAUAAUCAAGAAAAACAUCCAGAAGAAGAAACACUA
Molecule: long non-coding RNA, 1023 nt
Organism: Anopheles arabiensis
Lineage: Eukaryota; Metazoa; Arthropoda; Insecta; Diptera; Culicidae
Exons: 4
Source: RefSeq, a predicted model, not a curated record